AGGCUUUGUCAUUCUAUAAUGAGUGAGGAAUGGGAGAUAAGACUUGGGCAGCGAGUUCAAUAUUGCAUCUUUCCCAAGCUGCUCAUGCAAGGAAAAGCCGAGCUUGCUCAAUCGUUCCAUCAGCUCGAUCAUGUACAAUACAUGAUCAGUGACAGAGGCACCAUCCCGCAUUUUGGCGUUGAAGAUGGCACAACUAGUCUUGUGCCUCUCCA
This 212-nucleotide long non-coding RNA is filed under the name Elaeis guineensis (African oil palm). RNAcentral's name for it is "long non-coding RNA (EGUI_LNC044922)". Lineage: Eukaryota; Viridiplantae; Streptophyta; Magnoliopsida; Arecales; Arecaceae. The record is from RNAcentral.